This 947-nucleotide ribosomal RNA is filed under the name uncultured archaeon. RNAcentral's name for it is "bacterial SSU rRNA". It matches the Rfam family "Archaeal small subunit ribosomal RNA", at positions 356 to 1300 of the family's 1478-position model. The record is from RNAcentral.
UGCACGACAGUGCGAUAAGGGGACCCCGAGUGCGUAGGCAUAGAGCCUACGCUUUUGUACACCGUAGGGAGGUGUACGAAUAAAGAGCUGGGCAAGACCGGUGCCAGCCGCCGCGGUAAUACCGGCAGCUCGAGUGAUGGCCGAUCUUAUUGGGCCUAAAGCGUCCGUAGCUGGCUUUUCAAGUCCGUCGGGAAAUCUCCCCGCUCAACGGGGAGGCGUCCGGCGGAAACUGAAGAGCUUGGGACCGGAAGGCGUGACGGGUACGUCCGGGGUAGGAGUGAAAUCCUGUAAUCCUGGACGGACCGCCGAUGGGGAAACCACGUCACGAGGACGGAUCCGACAGUGAGGGACGAAAGCUAGGGUCUCGAACCGGAUUAGAUACCCGGGUAGUCCUAGCCGUAAACGAUGCCUGUUAGGUGUGACUCCCACUACGAGUGGGUGUUGUGCCGUAGGGAAGCCGCUAAACAGGCCGCCUGGGAAGUACGUCCGCAAGGAUGAAACUUAAAGGAAUUGGCGGGGGAGCACUACAACCGGAGGAGCCUGCGGUUUAAUUGGACUCAACGCCGGACAUCUCACCAGCAUCGACUGUAGUAAUGACGAUCAGGUUGAUGACCUUAUCCGAGCUUCAGAGAGGAGGUGCAUGGCCGCCGUCAGCUCGUACCGUGAGGCGUCCUGUUAAGUCAGGCAACGAGCGAGACCCGCAUCCUUACUUGCCAGCAGCAUCGCGAGAUGGCUGGGGACAGUAGGGAGACCGCCGCUGCUAAAGCGGAGGAAGGAACGGGCAACGGUAGGUCAGUAUGCCCCGAAUGUGCUGGGCAACACGCGGGCUACAAUGGCCGAGACAGAGGGUUCCAACCCCGAGAGGGGACGGUAAUCUCAGAAACUCGGUCGUAGUUCGGAUUGUGGACUGAAACUCGUCCACAUGAAGCUGGAUUCGGUAGUAAUCG